Molecule: transfer RNA, 76 nt
Filed under: Bdellovibrionales bacterium
Lineage: Bacteria; Pseudomonadati; Bdellovibrionota; Bdellovibrionia; Bdellovibrionales
Also listed under: 1 other name
Description: tRNA-Val
Rfam family: tRNA
About the family: Transfer RNA (tRNA) molecules are approximately 80 nucleotides in length. Their secondary structure includes four short double-helical elements and three loops (D, anti-codon, and T loops). Further hydrogen bonds mediate the characteristic L-shaped molecular structure. tRNAs have two regions of fundamental functional importance: the anti-codon, which is responsible for specific mRNA codon recognition, and the 3' end, to which the tRNAs corresponding amino acid is attached (by aminoacyl-tRNA synthetases). tRNAs cope with the degeneracy of the genetic code in two manners: having more than one tRNA (with a specific anti-codon) for a particular amino acid; and 'wobble' base-pairing, i.e. permitting non-standard base-pairing at the 3rd anti-codon position.
Source: RNAcentral
AGGAGGUUAGCUCAGUUGGUAGAGCGCCACCCUUACAAGGUGGAUGUCGUCGGUUCGAAUCCGGCACCUCCUACCA